UACGAAGGGGGCUAGCGUUGUCCGGAAUUAUUGGGCGUAAAGAGCUCGUAGGCGGUUUGUCGCGUCUGCUGUGAAAACCCGAGGCUCAACCUCGGGCCUGCAGUGGGUACGGGCAGACUAGAGUGUGGUAGGGGAGACUGGAAUUCCUGGUGUAGCGGUGGAAUGCGCAGAUAUCAGGAGGAACACCGAUGGCGAAGGCAGGUCUCUGGGCCACUACUGACGCUGAGAAGCGAAAGCAUGGGGAGCGAACAGG
Molecule: ribosomal RNA, 253 nt
Filed under: uncultured bacterium
Lineage: Bacteria
Description: partial 16S ribosomal RNA
Rfam family: Bacterial small subunit ribosomal RNA
Source: RNAcentral